CUCGACAGCAGUGUCCAUCACCGUUUCCCUCAUCAUCUCUUUGCUCACUUCCAUUUUCUAACUCGUCUCUUUGAGGCUUCGAUUAGCAAAACGAUAUUAACAACUCCACUUAACAGUGUCAGGCACAGGGAGGAAGAUAAGGGAAGAUUUGCGAACGAGAUUGAGUCAGGCCGAGUCGAGUUACAUAGUUAUUCUGACGAGUCGUCGCUCGAGUGGGAGACUGAGUCGAAGAGGAGUCAGACCUCAUUUGGGUCGGCAGCAAACACAAAGCACGGCAAGGUCGAGAGGAAGAAAGGAACUCCGUGGACAGAAGAAGAACACAGGUAGUGUUGAUAGAGAAUGAUAUAGAUGCGAGACCAUUUAUUUCUCAAGUUUUGUCAUGUUUGCGGCCAUUACUUCGUCUGUGUCUUCUGAAGAUUUGGCAAAUCCUAUUAGGUAGGAUUUGCGUCAUAUACGUGUCUUUAGUGUGGAUCCUCCAAGAUGCAAGGAUAUUGAUGAUGCAUUACAUAAUGGAAAUUUUGAAGUUGGAGUUCGUAUCCUUUGACCUUUUGGUUCUUGCACGUAUGUUGACCUUAUAACUAUCAUGGAAAUUAUUGGAACUCACUAAUGGAAGCAAAUAGCACGAAAAAUAUCAAAACCAUGACAGCAAAAUUUAUUAUAUGUGACAAGAGGGAACUUCUGACACGACGGAGAACGAUCUUGGAGGAGAAGUUUAUGUUUCAAGUUUGUUUUUUUGGCUUUGAAUGCUUAUUUAUGUUGAAGAUUUGCCUAUUAGUGGAAACUAUCAUUUAUCUUGCUAAUUACUUAGAAAAAACAAAUCUUGAUUAUUACUAAUUUGGUUGAACUUUUACCUAUCUUGCUAAUUACUAAUUUGUUUCUUGAUAUGUAGAAGAGGCUGCUCUCCUCAAGGGUGUCUCUGUAUGUCUACAUAUGGGGAUGGAGACCUUUUAUAGGAUAGUUGGGCCAUGGAGGCCAGCUCGUGCUUGAGGGUCAUGCCAAGGAGUGGCAAAUGUAGGUGUGGUAUGCCUUUCGAGUUAUUACAUGAGUGUGCGUGUCCAUGUAUGGGAUGGGGACCUUUUGUAGGAUAGUUGGGCCAUGAAGGUCAGCUCAUCCUUAAGAGUUAUGCCAAAGGGUGGCAAAGUUUGGUGUCAUACGCCUUUUGAGGUAUCAUAUGCCUUAGUCAAAUAGGUCUUUCUUUCUUGUCUAAGAUAGGUGAAAGUGGAGCCACCUCGAGAGGGUGGACUAAGCAAUUUUGCUAAUCUCUCAACUUUAACUACCAAUCUACAAGUUUGUGGUAAUCCAGCGUGGAGUCAUGGGUCGCUUGGGUGUCUCAUGAUUGAGGCACUGAGGGAUCCAUAGGCCCUACUCCUUAUCUAUACCUAGGCAAGCUGUGUGGCUCUGGGUGGCAUUCUUGAGGCCUUGAGGCAAGGUGAGGCCAUGAAGUGACGCACUGCGACUAGGUGAGAAUGUGAGGCUCAUGCCUUGUGAUGAUCCAACUCCUCUUAAGUGAUGACGUGUCAUGUAUGUAGGGCACAAAUACCUAUAAUGUUUAUUGAAAAUUCAUUAAGAGUGGAAUUUUUUGUUGUUGCAAUGUUUUAAGCGUUUACUAUCAAGUUUGAGCAUUGGUUGGAGGGCAUCCACUUUACCUAGUGAACCUCUCACUGCUACAUUGGUAGGAUGAGCACUUAAUUUUAGAUGUAAUUUUUUUGAUCGUCUUAUAUUUUCAUCAUCCUUGCUUCUGAUUCUCGAUACAUUCAUGAUUUAGUCUUUAUUUAUUUGAUAAAUAAAAUUUUAUUAUUGACAACAUCAAGCUGAUGCUAAAAUACACCAAAAAAAAUAAAAUAAAACAAAAACCCCAUGAAAGGGGAGAGACCACCUAACCAAUCAAAUCAUCCAAAAAAAUUCAAAAAAGCAAACAAAUCCAGGUCCACCAUACAUGUAACCCAGGUAUACAAAACUACAAAAAGCCUAUUUUCUAACCACGAAAGAGAACAAGCCAUCCCUUGAAAAAUACACUAAUUCCGUAUUGAUGACUUUUUUCUACAUGUAUAUUGUAGCCACUUGAUGGAUCCGCUAACUACAGAUUUGAGAAAUAUGAAUGUUUUAGCAAAGGUAAUGAGGCAGAGGCGUAUUGAUAGAGGAGCAUUGACUCUUGCCUCUGCUGAAGUGAAAUUUCAGAUUGAUACUGAAACUCAUGACUCUCUGGAUAUUGAAUUCCUUCAGGACUCAAAGGCCCAAAUCAUUCUAUAUAAACUGGGUGUCUGGGGUUCCAUUACAGUUUUGGUCCAACUCAUGGUGGUUUAUCCUUGAAUAUGGAUGUGGCUACAACUAUGAUAUUAACACUUGGACCUGUGAUUGAUUUUCUUCUGGCCAAUCAGAAUGCACUGGAACCUCGUAAUAUUAACUGGGCAAAGCAGUUGAAGGUUCGGGAAGCAGAAAAGAAUCAGUGUAAAGAUAUCGUGAGAAGUGAAAAGACAAGUAUCUUAAAUGUCUAAGCUGCUCUUUCUGUCAAUCAGAUUGAACUACAAAAAGUCCAUUUUCCUUAUUUCUUUUCUUUUUUUGUUACUCACAUUCCUGUUAGCUGAAUAUUCAAGAGCAAGAAAAAGGUGGCAAACCCUUCGUCUGCUAGUUUGGACAUUUACUUAAACCAUCAGAUGGGGAAUCAGACCCAGAAUGAGCUCUCAAAUAGGAGUGAUGCAUGCUCUCCACCCCAAAUUAGACCACCCAACACUCCUACCUGGUGUAGCUCAGUGGAUAAUAUAGUGAAGAAUACAAUCUUUCUGUUGCUCUCAAUGACAAAGAUGUCAGGGAGCAUUACAUACAAUGGACAUAGUUUAAAUGAGUUUGUUCCUUAGAGGACAUCUGCUUAUGUCAGUCAACAAGAUUGGCAUGUGGCAGAGAUGACAGUAAGGAAGACUUUUGACUUCUCAACUGGUUGUCAGGGUGUUGGAUAUAAAUAUGAUAUGCUUCUGGAACUUUCAUGAAGAGAGAAAAUUGCUGGAAUAAAACCUGAUGAAGAUUUUGAUAUACUUAUGAAGGUGAUGUGUACAAAAUACCUUCAAGAAAGAAAAGACUUGGUCCAAGCAUUUCACAAGGAUAUAAAACUCUCUGAUCUUCCCAAGAUAAAUCAAGUUUUUGUAUCUCUUACUUUGUCUGUCACCAUAUUAUUUAGCUCCUGCUUUGUUUCUCAGUUACUAGUUUGAUUGGCUCGCUAAUGGUGUAAUUUCUCCAUGAUGUAGCCCAUGUUAAUAAUCUGGGGAGAUCAAUAUCAGAUAUUUCCACUGGAAUUGGCGCACCGAUUAAAAAGGUUUAUGAUCAUCGAAUAUAUCAAUAUUUAGUGAGCCCUUUGGAGCCAUUGUCUAUUAUAAAAGAUGAUGAGCAUAUUGUAGCCUACAGACUUCCAAAAAGUCAGGCAGAAUUAACAAGACUAGAGAUAUAUCAUUGUGACCUAGAAAAAUUGGUUUUUAAUGAUGUUUGGAAGUAUACUUGCAAAUGAAGAUCAACUGUUGAAUUUUGUUUCCUGAACUGAUACUUAGUUGUAGUUGCAAAUCAAGAUUGAGUGUUGAUUUUUUUUUGUGGAUUC
This is a non-coding RNA of Camellia sinensis, 3583 nucleotides long. The record is from RefSeq and is a predicted model, not a curated record. NCBI's taxonomy places the organism in Eukaryota, Viridiplantae, Streptophyta, Magnoliopsida, Ericales, Theaceae.